Pangasianodon hypophthalmus (striped catfish) is the source of this 2095-nucleotide RNA transcript. It is a transcript of the gene named mesoderm specific transcript, with no coding region annotated. The record is from RefSeq and is a predicted model, not a curated record. Lineage: Eukaryota; Metazoa; Chordata; Actinopteri; Siluriformes; Pangasiidae. The transcript is spliced from 12 exons.
AGCGGUUUGUGUUCAGUGCAGUGAGACCUUCAGCCCCAGCACACAGAGCUGCUCGGAGGGAAGGAGGGAAGGAGACUCGGGUGUGCUGAUGCAGCUGCAGGGGAGGACCUCGGGGUCAUGAGCCGCCACACUUCACCUGCAGGAGAGGAGUGUGUGUCUGCCUGCGCUGUGAUGAGGGAGUGGUGGCAGCGUGUGGUGCUGCUGUUCUGCGUUCCUCUUCUCGCCUUCUACCUGCACAUCCCGCAGCCUCCGCUUUCGCCCGCCCUGCACACCUGGCACUCCUCCGGACGCUUCUUCAGCUUCCGAGGAAACAAGAUCUUUUACAAAGAGUCGCUGGGCGCUGUGGGGAGCUCUGAGGUGCUGCUGCUGCUUCAUGGGUUUCCCACCUCGAGCUACGACUGGCACAAGAUUUGGGAGCCUCUGAGUCAGCGGUUUAACAGAGUCAUUGCACUCGACUUCCUCGGCUUUGGCUUCUCUGACAAACCUAGGCCGCAUCGGUAUUCAGUGUUCGAGCAGGCCGGUGUAGUGGAGGCUUUAAUCUCACAUCUGGGCCUCGCCGAGCAGAAGAUCAACCUGCUGUCACAUGACUAUGGAGACACUGUAGCACUCGAGCUCCUCUACAGGAGUGACAACAAUCGAACUGGACACGUGGCCAUAAACAGCCUCUGCCUUUCAAACGGAGGUAUAUUCCCUGAGACGCAUUACCCGAGGUUUCUUCAGAAGGUCCUGAAGGAUUCUGGUUUCAUCUCCCCUCUGCUUACCAGACUUAUAAACUUCUACCUCUUCUCUAAAGGGAUUGGAGAAGUCUUCGGUCCGUACACGCAGCCGACUGAAGCCGAGCUCUGGGACAUGUGGACAGGGAUCCGCUUUAACGAUGGAAACUUGGUUAUGGACAGCAUCCUGCAGUAUAUUAAUCAGAGACUGAAGCACAGAGAGAGAUGGGUUGGAGCGCUCACCACUACAUUAACCCCAUCUCUGGGAAUGCUGUGUGUGUAGCCAGUGUUUAGUCACACUGCUGUCCUGUGGAGGCGGAGCACAUUCACUGUAACACCUUAUUUAAGUUAAGAGGUUUAAUCCAUUGAAAACCCUUUAAGGAGACGACUGGCCUCAUCUACACCUCAUACACAGGAGCUGUGUCUCAAAUCACAUGUGAAUACUUUUGAGUAUGCAUGUUUGGUGUAGUGUUCUUCCACUGGUCUAUAAAAAUAAAAAAAGAAACCCUCUGGAUAUAUUUAGAUGUCAAAUUAGCAUAUGACCAAGACGCUAAGUCUCCAAAUUAGUAGUUGACUGGUAUGGGAUUUUCAGUGGCAGAUACUGUUGCAGAUAUUUGCUUAACUUUUGAACAUUUCUGCUGCACUAAACAUCCCUCAUGCACCAGAGCUGAACGAGUGAGAUCAACCCUUCAGAGUGUGUAAGUGAGCACAUGAAGAGCACAUUCACGGCUCAUGCAAAACCAGUAACACUAAAGUCAUUAGAUUUGUUUAAAUGUAGUUAAAUUUCAGUACAAUUCAGUUUUUACAUGGACUAAAUAUUAGCAAACUUUGCUAGGUUUUGUCUUCUCCAAGACAGAAAAAAACUGACUUGACUUUGGUGGCCUUUGCGAUGCGACUGUUGCACAUGCAGAACUUGCGAUCUGCAGUGUGUGUUAUAGAGUGUGUGAUCUGCAGUCUGCGAAGCAUUACACUUUUGUCACAUUUGUGUUGUUAACUAUUUUGGCUUAGAAUCAUAUAUUCAUACUAAACAACCGAAAUCAAACAAAUGAUAUGGAGUCUAGAGUAAACACUGCUUAUCUUAUAAAUGGAGGCUAAUAAAGUUCACUUAUUAAAAUGACUUAAAUUAAUGAACUCUUUGAGAGCUAGGAAUUCAGCCUUACCAUUUGUUCUUGUUAGGAACUCCAGGGCCAGUGCUUUCUUGCCAGGGAAGAUAAAGGGGGAAGCUUGAGCUUGCAGGCUGAUCAGCUGAUAUCCAGUACCAUAAAAUGUUUAAUAUCGGCGGAGUGAUCAGUCAGCCACUACUCCAAGUCAUUUGAUGUGCAUAUGAUCUACGGACCGCUCGAUCCAGUGAAUCCAUACCCCGAGUUUAUUCAUCUCUACCA